RNAcentral lists this long non-coding RNA (2721 nucleotides) under Homo sapiens (human). RNAcentral describes it as "HSALNT0051515". The stretch from base 2190 to 2337 matches the Rfam family "Metazoan signal recognition particle RNA". Lineage: Eukaryota; Metazoa; Chordata; Mammalia; Primates; Hominidae. The record is from RNAcentral.
CAACUGCAAGUCAUAUCUGUCUUCUACCAUCUCAAUCUCAACCACAUCGGUGACCCGCAAGCUGGGAUCCUCCAUCAUGGAGUGACACACACUCCUGGCCAGAGCAGCUACAGGAGGAGGUCCAGAAGGAGGAGAGGAGGUGCAGGCCCAGCUGCUGCCCUGUGUAGACUGUCAUUCCAGACCAUUACAGAGUGAAGAGAAGUUAUUCUAUUUUUAAGGACCGCCAAAGUAGAUUCCACUGUCUUCACAACCUAUUCUGGUGUCUACGAGCUCUCAGCAUUGGCAAGUUUUCCUUGGGAUCUAACAAAAUUCUGUCCAUAGAAGCUCAGGCCAGCCAGCCAGCCAUGGGAGCCAGAGAAAACUUCCACCACCCCAGAUAAAAUCUACCUCAGAUUUUCAAGAUGGUCCGUAAACCUCUGGAGCCAUGAUAAUCCUAAUUUCCACAGCCUCCUUUGGCAUUUGGAGAGUUUGCUGUGGAAGCUCAAUGCUGAACUUCCCCUCAUAGGGAGACCUCUUCACCCACCAGAGAGGAGGGAAGCCAGCACCAAACAGCGCUUCAGCCUUGCUGAGUUUAGAGGGUGAGGGGGUGAGCGAGCCAUUGUCCCGGUGCCCACAGAGGCCUGCCCGCUCACACCCUGGGCCUGCCAGCUGCUGUUGCUGCCCCCACCCCUCUCAGCACCCUCCCCUCCAUGUCGAGGGACUGGCCCUCCCCCGCCCCAAGAGUGCCUUCCGGCCUUCAAGGAAUAGAGGCCAGAAGUAUCAAGGAAACAUGGCCUCACCCAAGAGGAAAAGGAAGCUCAAAAACCAGGCCAGAGGGUGAGGUGGUGCUGGGGCAUAGGAUGCAUCUGGCCGUCACAUUACUGAGGGAGGAAGGGAGAAAAGGAAACCAAGUGCUGGUGGCCUGAAGGCUGCCCAGCCUCAGCGAUUUCUUCACACAUGCCUCUGAUUGCCCUGACCGAGGUUCAAAACCGGCUUGAAAAUUGCUUCCAGCUCACAUUCUGAUUCCAAUAUAAAGGUAACACAUGAAAGACAGUGGAAAUGAUGACCAGGCAGGACCCUGAAAAACAAACAUUUGUGAGUAAAAACUGUCUGCGUGGGGAUAGACUGCCUGUACUGAAAGAGUAGCCUCGGCUGUAUGCACAGUUUAGGCGUUCACGGAUUCCCCCAGGCCUGCGGGGAGGAUGGGCUCCAGAGUGCAAGGCAUGUUAACUAGCACAGCUGUGGGUAGAAAGAGCACUGAUCUUAACGAGAAAGGUCUGGGUUCCACCCCAAUCUCUGGGAAGGCACUGGGAGUCUGUUUUCUAGGCUAGAUCAGUGUUUCCACUGAUGGAUUCCUAUUUUGUGCCCCAAAAUGUCAUGUUCCCUCCACAUGUGGAGUAGCAUCUUCUAUGGUGAGCUGGCUUCAAAAGAUAAAUAUAAGACAAAAUGAUUGCUCAUGUAAAAGUUUCCCUUUAAAACUUCUUAAAUUACUGACAAAUACAGAAAUACACUCUAUCAUGAGAGGUUUGGGCAAGAGCUGAAACCCACUGAGGGGAAGCAGUCACAUCCACCAAUCUGUGCUCAGCCUGGGCAUCCAUCCCUUCAUGGAGCCAAAUCACCAACUCUAUUAAAAGACUGUGGGAUCCCAGCACUUUGGGAGGCCAAGGUGGGCAGACCACCUGAGGUCAGGAGUGCAAGACCAGCCUGAUCAACGUGGUGAAACCCCAUCUCUACUAAAAAUACAAAAUUAGCCAGGCGUGGUGGCACAUGCCUAUAGUCCCAGCUACUCGGGAGGCUGAGGCAGGAGAAUCCCUUGAACCCAGGAGGCGGAGGUUACGGUGAGUCGAGAUUGCACCAUUGCACUCCAGCCUGGGUGACAGAGUGAGACUCUGUCUCAAAAAAAAAGAUGGUGGUUUAAUUUCUGUUUUGCUGUUUGUAAGAAUUUCUUUUUUCUCUUUUUCUUUUCUUUUUGUUUUGCUAAACCCACAGAGUCAUGUUUGCAUAGGUUCAAUAUGCAUAUAAUGCAACUCAAUCCUAAAUAUAUUUUUAAAUAUAUGUUGAUUUUUAAAAUAUAUUAUGGGUCCAGCUGCAGUGGCUCAUGCCUACAAUCCCAGCACUUUGGGAGGCCGAGGUGGGAGGAUUGCUUGAGACCAGGAGCUGGAGACUGGCCUGGGCCACAUAGUGAGACCCCCAUCUCUACAAAAAAAAUAGCUGGGCAUGCUGGUGCACACCUGUAGUCCCAGCUACUCAGGAGGCUGAGGCAGGAGGAUUGCUUGAGUCCAGGAGUUCAAGGCUGCAGUGUACUAUGAUUGUGACAUUGCACUCCAGCCUGGGCUACAGAGCUAGACCCCAUCUCUUAAGAAAAAAUAGAUUAUGGUAAAUGUGACUGGAAACUCAUGAAAGUUUUUCUAUGAAUUUGUGUUUUAUUCAUUGUAACAACAUUCAUGCACAUUUACAAAAGAAAGAAAUGAUAUACAUGUGUGGUGAGAUACGUGAAUUAUCCAGGCAUAGAUGAUGCUAGAUGCAGAGGGAUUAGCUGGCCUCUGGCAGUGCAGCUGAGGUGGUCAAAUGGGAGCCAAAUGAAUAAAAUGGCCUAAAUAAUGCACAGCUUGAAAUCUUGAUGCAUCUGUGGUCUCAACACAAGUCCAUGCUCAUUUCAACUCCAUGCUUAUACUUGGCUUUCAGCUCACAUUUCAGAAAACUAAUUUUGAACAAGGGAGAUUGAAAUUAUUUUUAUUUAGC